Molecule: ribosomal RNA, 253 nt
Filed under: uncultured bacterium
Lineage: Bacteria
Description: partial 16S ribosomal RNA
Rfam family: Bacterial small subunit ribosomal RNA
Source: RNAcentral
UACGUAGGUGACAAGCGUUGUCCGGAUUUACUGGGCGUAAAGAGCGCGCAGGCGGUCGAUCAAGUCGAGUGUGAAAGCCCCCGGCUCAACUGGGGAGGGUCAUUCGAUACUGAUCGACUCGAAGGCAGGAGAGGGUAGUGGAAUUCCCGAUGUAGUGGUGAAAUGCGUAGAUAUCGGGAGGAACACCAGUGGCGAAGGCGACUACCUGGCCUGUUCUUGACGCUGAGGCGCGAAAGCUAGGGGAGCAAACGGG